UGCCAGCCGCCGCGGUAAUACGGAGGAUCCAAGCGUUAUCCGGAAUUAUUGGGUUUAAAGGGUCCGUAGGUGGACAAUUAAGUCAGAGGUGAAAUCCUGCAGCUCAACUGUAGAAUUGCCUUUGAAACUGGUUGUCUUGAGUCAUUAUGAAGUGGUUAGAAUGUGUAGUGUAGCGGUGAAAUGCAUAGAUAUUACACAGAAUACCAAUUGCGAAGGCAGAUCACUAAUAAUGUACUGACACUGAUGGACGAAAGUGUGGGUAGCGAACAGGAUUAGAUA
RNAcentral lists this ribosomal RNA (279 nucleotides) under uncultured bacterium. RNAcentral describes it as "partial 16S ribosomal RNA". It matches the Rfam family "Bacterial small subunit ribosomal RNA", at positions 506 to 784 of the family's 1533-position model. The record is from RNAcentral.